GGUCAAGUUAUUAAGGGUGCAGGGCGGAUGCCUUGGCACUAGGAGCCGAUGAAGGACGUGAUAAGCUGCGAUAAGCUUCGGGGAGUUGCACGUAAACUUUGAUCCGAAGAUUUCCGAAUGAGGAAACUCACUUAGAGUAAUGUCUAAGUAUCAUUAAGUGAAUACAUAGCUUAAUGAGGGGAACUCAGGGAACUGAAACAUCUAAGUACCUGAAGGAAGAGAAAGAAAUUCGAUUCCGUAAGUAGCGGCGAGCGAACGCGGAUUAGCCCAAACCAAUAAAGUUUUCUUUAUUGGGGUUGCGGACAUAUCAUAACGAAGAGGUAUCGUAAUUGAAGAGGUUUGGAAAGACCCACCACAGAAGGUAAUAGUCCUGUAUGUUAAACGAGAAGACUUUAGAUAUGAUCCAGAGUACCACGGGACACGUGAAACCCUGUGGGAAGCAGGAGGGACCACCCUCCAAGGCUAAAUACUACCUAGUGACCGAUAGCGUAUAGUACCGUGAGGGAAAGGUGAAAAGAACCCCGGGAGGGGAGUGAAAUAGAACCUGAAACCCUGCACUUACAAGCUGUGGAAGCACAUUUCUUGUGUGACCGCGUACUUUUUGUAGAACGGGCCAACGAGUUACGUUAAGUAGCAAGGUUAAGCACUUAAGGUGCGGAGCCGUAGCGAAAGCGAGUUUUAACUGAGCGUUCAGUUACUUGACGUAGACCCGAAACCGGGCGACCUACCCAUGAGCAGGAUGAAGCGAAAGUAAAAUUUCGUGGAGGUCCGAACCCACGAGCGUUGAAAAGCUCGGGGAUGACUUGUGGGUAGCGGUGAAAUUCCAAUCGAGCCCGGAGAUAGCUGGUUCUCCCCGAAAUAGCUUUAGGGCUAGCCUCAAGGUGAGAGAUACGGAGGUAGAGCACUGAAUGUCCUAGGGGGUAUUGCACCUACCGAAGACUAUCAAACUCCGAAUGCCGUCAUCUUAUACUUGGGAGUCAGACUGUGGGUGAUAAGAUUCAUAGUCGAAAGGGCAACAGCCCAGAUCGUCAGCUAAGGUCCCUAAAUGUAAGUUAAGUGGUAAAGGAUGUGGGAUUGCACAGACAACCAGGAUGUUGGCUUAGAAGCAGCCACUCAUUCAAAGAGUGCGUAAUAGCUCACUGGUCGAGUGAUCCUGCGCCGAAGAUUUCCGGGGCUAAAACUUACUACCGAAGCUACGGCAUCAGUAAUGAUGGGUAGGGGAGCUUCCCAUACGGGUUGAAGCAUGACCGUAAGGACAUGUGGACAGUAUGGGAGUGAGAAUGUUGGCAUGAGUAGCGAGAUGUGGGUGAGAAUCCCACAGGCCGUAAACCCAAGGUUUCCAGGGGAAGGUUCGUCCGCCCUGGGUUAGUCGGGACCUAAGCUGAGGCCGAAAGGCGUAGGUGAUGGACAACAGGUUGAUAUUCCUGUACUACCGAUAACCGUUUGAGAGAAGGGAUGACACAGUAGGAUAAGCUAAGCACACUGUUGGUUAUGUGUGCCCAAGCAUUGAGGCAGUCAAAGUAGGCAAAUCCGCUUUGAUAAUGCUGGGAUGUGAUGGGGAGCGAAAUUUAGUAGCGAAGUAGCUGAUUUCACACUGUCAAGAAAAGUCUCUAUCGAGGUUAAAGGUACCCGUACCGCAAACCGACACAGGUGGGUGAGGAGAGUAUCCUAAGGCCAGCGAGAGAACUGUUGUUAAGGAACUCGGCAAAAUGACCCCGUAACUUAGGGAU
RNAcentral lists this ribosomal RNA (1730 nucleotides) under Clostridioides difficile. RNAcentral describes it as "partial 23S ribosomal RNA". It matches the Rfam family "Bacterial large subunit ribosomal RNA", at positions 1 to 1742 of the family's 2925-position model. Lineage: Bacteria; Bacillati; Bacillota; Clostridia; Peptostreptococcales; Peptostreptococcaceae. The record is from RNAcentral.